This is a long non-coding RNA of Cyprinus carpio (common carp), 954 nucleotides long. NCBI's taxonomy places the organism in Eukaryota, Metazoa, Chordata, Actinopteri, Cypriniformes, Cyprinidae. The record is from Ensembl.
AUAUUAGGCGAACACUAAUGAACCUGGAUGUCCUGGAUGGAUCUGAUAAUUAUCCUGACCUGAUCAAUGGCACUUCAAUCCUGCUGUCUGCUUCAACAUUCAUAUUCAGCCAAGACCAGAGAUCUGUUUCUUUUCUCUCUCUCUCUGUGCGUCUCUCUUUCUCUCUAACCGCUCUUUGUGAUUGAGUAUGAAGUCUCCCACAAAGAGAAUGUCAGAAUGAAAGGCAGAGAGCAGGAGGGAGGGAAAAACAGUGGGCCAACCUCGUUUUCCGCUUGAUGGGUUAGCUGCAGAGAAUGCGCCUCGACGAGGUAAAUGAUUAAGGAGGGAGAGAGAGAGAGAGAGCUACAGAUAGCGAGCGAGAGAGAGAGAGAAACCUUUGCGGCUCUGCCAUUUUGCACUUCAAAGAUUUAGCCAGGCAGGUUAAAUGAAAAGCAAAUGUGUUGCCCUGCCGUGCAAAUACCUCAAAUGUUUUAGCAGGUGCAAGCAAUGAGGGAGGUGGGCAGUGACAGAGUCUUGAAUGCACCUUGCUUUAGGAACAAGAGAGCGACGUCCUCCUCUCCCCUCAUAAGAGACCUGGCCUUCAACAGAGGCUAUAGAGAGGUCAACUUAGUGCAGGUCUCAAAGGUCAAUUACUGCAGGUUACCAUGGGAUAAUAUCCAGCCAAGUAAAGAGGGUCAGGUUGGGGAGCUCUCUGAUGGAGGAGAGAGUGGAGAAUCUUGGCUUCUGGAUUUAUCUGUUUCCCCGAUGAUGGGCAUCUACAGCCAGGUCCCGUUUGGCACAAACAACAGAGGGAGGAAUCUUGCACCCUCAUUACAUAGCAGCCACUCUAAUUACAAGCUGCUCAAGAGAUGUUAUUCUACACCUGCUGGUGACAAUGACAGCACCUCUGUCCCUUGCUCGUCUUUGCUUUUGUGUAAUGGGGCGCGGGGUGCAACACAACACCGUUUUAAAUAA